This 426-nucleotide ribosomal RNA is filed under the name uncultured bacterium. Its description in RNAcentral is "bacterial SSU rRNA". It matches the Rfam family "Bacterial small subunit ribosomal RNA", at positions 958 to 1398 of the family's 1533-position model. The record is from RNAcentral.
AACGCGAAGAACCUUACCAGGGUUUGACAUGCAGUCGCACCGCCAAGAGAUUGGCGUGCCCGCAAGGGACGGCUGCACAGGUGCUGCAUGGCUGUCGUCAGCUCGUGUCGUGAGAUGUUGGGUUAAGUCCCGCAACGAGCGCAACCCCCAUCGUCGGUUAUACGUGUCCGGCGAGACUGCCGCGAUCAACGUGGAGGAAGGCGGGGAUGACGUCAAGUCAGCACGGCCCUUACGUCCUGGGCUACACACACGCUACAAUGGUCGGUACAAUGGGUCGCCAACCCGCAAGGGGGAGCCAAUCUCACAAAACCGAUCUCAGUUCAGAUUGGAGGCUGCAACCCGCCUCCAUGAAGUUGGAGUUGCUAGUAACCGUAGGUCAGCACACUACGGUGAAUACGUUCCCGGGCCUUGUACACACCGUACGUC